This 604-nucleotide ribosomal RNA is filed under the name uncultured bacterium. RNAcentral's name for it is "bacterial SSU rRNA". The stretch from base 1 to 520 matches the Rfam family "Bacterial small subunit ribosomal RNA", at positions 338 to 873 of the family's 1533-position model. The record is from RNAcentral.
CCUACGGGAGGCAGCAGUGGGGAAUCUUGCGCAAUGGGCGAAAGCCUGACGCAGCAACGCCGCGUGCGGGAAGAAGGCUUUCGGGCUGUAAACCGCUUUCAGCAGGAACGAAAAUGACGGUACCUGCAGAAGAAGGAGCGGCCAACUAUGUGCCAGCAGCCGCGGUGAUACAUAGGCUUCAAGCGUUGUCCGGAUUUAUUGGGCGUAAAGAGUUCGUAGGCGGUCAAGUAAGUCGGGUGUGAAAAUUCUGGGCUCAACCCAGAGACGCCACCCGAUACUGCUUAACUUGAGUUCGAUAGGGGAGUGGGGAAUUCCUAGUGUAGCGGUGAAAUGCGCAGAUAUUAGGAGGAACACCGGUGGCGAAGGCGCCACUCUGGAUCGAUACUGACGCUGAGGAACGAAAGCAUGGGUAGCAAACAGGAUUAGAUACCCUGGUAGUCCAUGCCGUAAACGGUGGGCACUAGGUGUGGGUUUCUAUUAACGAAAUCCGNGCCGUCGCUAACGCAUUAAGUGCCCCGCCUGGGGGUGGUACGGUCGCGAGACGAAACGUACGAAGAAGUAGUAACGGCGUGAGACGUGCCGAGGACGACGACGAGGGAGGAGG